RNAcentral lists this ribosomal RNA (426 nucleotides) under uncultured bacterium. RNAcentral's name for it is "bacterial SSU rRNA". It matches the Rfam family "Bacterial small subunit ribosomal RNA", at positions 354 to 796 of the family's 1533-position model. The record is from RNAcentral.
GUGAGGAAUUUUCCGCAAUGGGCGAAAGCCUGACGGAGCAAUGCCGCGUGAAGGAUGAAGGCCUAUGGGUUGUAAACUUCUUUUCUCAGAAAAGAAUUAUGACGGUAUCUGAGGAAUAAGCAUCGGCUAACUCUGUGCCAGCAGCCGCGGUAAGACAGAGGAUGCAAGCGUUAUCCGGAAUGAUUGGGCGUAAAGCGUCUGUAGGUUGUUUAAAAAGUAUUCUGUCAAAGAUUAGGGCUUAACCCUAGAUAGGCAGAAUAAACUUUUAAGCUAGAGUUUGGUAGAGGCAGAGGGAAUUCCCGGUGGAGCGGUGAAAUGCGUAGAUAUCGGGAGGAACACCAAAGGCGAAGGCACUCUGCUGGGCCAAUACUAACACUGAGAGACGAAAGCGAGGGGAGCAAACAGGAUUAGAAACCCUGGUAGUCC